Molecule: ribosomal RNA, 440 nt
Filed under: uncultured bacterium
Lineage: Bacteria
Description: partial 16S ribosomal RNA
Rfam family: Bacterial small subunit ribosomal RNA
Source: RNAcentral
CCUACGGGUGGCAGCAGUGGGGAAUAUUGCACAAUGGGGGAAACCCUGAUGCAGCGACGCCGCGUGCGUGAAGACGUAAUUCGUUAUUUAAAGCUCUAUCAGCAGGGAAGAAAAUGACGGUACCUGAGUAAGAAGCCCCGGCUAACUACGUUCCAGCAGCCGCGGUAAUACGGAGGGGGCCAGCGUUAUCCGGAUUUACUGGGUGUAAAGGGAGCGUAGACGGCAGUGCAAGUCUGGAGUGAAAGGGGGGGGCUCAACCCCCGGACUGCUCUGGAAACUGGACGGCUGGAGUGCAGGAGAGGUAGGUGGAAUUCGUAGUGUAGCGGUGAAAUGCGUAGAUAUUAGGAGGAACACCAGUGGCGAAGGCGGCUUACUGGACUGUAACUGACGUUGAGGCGCGAAAGCGUGGGGAGCAAACAGGAUUAGAUACCCUGGUAGUC